This is a small nucleolar RNA of Hemicordylus capensis (graceful crag lizard), 133 nucleotides long. RefSeq annotates it as small nucleolar RNA SNORA71. The record is from RefSeq and is a predicted model, not a curated record. The transcript has a single exon. NCBI's taxonomy places the organism in Eukaryota, Metazoa, Chordata, Lepidosauria, Squamata, Cordylidae.
GCCUGCAUUCGAAAGUGAUCUUGGUCUUGUCUGUGGCCGGAUCAUUGAUAGUGCAGGAAGAGAAUUACUGACGGCAUUUCCCGUGUUUGGAGGGUCCAUUCUCAUCCCUACCAAACCCUGAGCUUUUCAGACA